This 763-nucleotide ribosomal RNA is filed under the name uncultured Streptococcus sp. Its description in RNAcentral is "bacterial SSU rRNA". It matches the Rfam family "Bacterial small subunit ribosomal RNA", at positions 28 to 776 of the family's 1533-position model. Lineage: Bacteria; Bacillati; Bacillota; Bacilli; Lactobacillales; Streptococcaceae. The record is from RNAcentral.
GACGAACGCUGGCGGCGUGCCUAAUACAUGCAAGUAGAACGCUGAAGGAGGAGCUUGCUUCUCUGGAUGAGUUGCGAACGGGUGAGUAACGCGUAGGUAACCUGCCUGGUAGCGGGGGAUAACUAUUGGAAACGAUAGCUAAUACCGCAUAAGAGUAGAUGUUGCAUGACAUUUGCUUAAAAGGUGCAGUUGCAUCACUACCAGAUGGACCUGCGUUGUAUUAGCUAGUUGGUGGGGUAACGGCUCACCAAGGCGACGAUACAUAGCCGACCUGAGAGGGUGAUCGGCCACACUGGGACUGAGACACGGCCCAGACUCCUACGGGAGGCAGCAGUAGGGAAUCUUCGGCAAUGGACGGAAGUCUGACCGAGCAACGCCGCGUGAGUGAAGAAGGUUUUCGGAUCGUAAAGCUCUGUUGUAAGAGAAGAACGAGUGUGAGAGUGGAAAGUUCACACUGUGACGGUAUCUUACCAGAAAGGGACGGCUAACUACAUGCCAGCAGCCGCGGUAAUACGUAGGUCCCGAGCGUUGUCCGGAUUUAUUGGGCGUAAAGCGAGCGCAGGCGGUUAGAUAAGUCUGAAGUUAAAGGCUGUGGCUUAACCAUAGUACGCUUUGGAAACUGUUUAACUUGAGUGCAAGAGGGGAGAGUGGAAUUCCAUGUGUAGCGGUGAAAUGCGUAGAUAUAUGGAGGAACACCGGUGGCGAAAGCGGCUCUCUGGCUUGUAACUGACGCUGAGGCUCGAAAGCGUGGGGAGCAAACAGG